RNAcentral lists this transfer RNA (71 nucleotides) under Marmota monax (woodchuck). RNAcentral describes it as "tRNA.Ser". The record is from RNAcentral. Lineage: Eukaryota; Metazoa; Chordata; Mammalia; Rodentia; Sciuridae.
GGGGUUGUGUCUCAGUGGUAGAGCGCUCACCUAGAAUGUGCAAGACACUGGGUUCAAUCCUCAGUACCUCA